This 305-nucleotide ribosomal RNA is filed under the name uncultured bacterium. Its description in RNAcentral is "bacterial SSU rRNA". It matches the Rfam family "Bacterial small subunit ribosomal RNA", at positions 334 to 631 of the family's 1533-position model. The record is from RNAcentral.
UACGUCCUACGGGAGGCAGCAGUGGGGAAUAUUGCGCAAUGGACGAAAGUCUGACGCAGCGAAGCCGCGUGAGGGAUGAAGGUUUUCGGAUCGUAAACCUCUGUCAGGAGGGAAGAAAGCGCAUGGCGCCAAUCAGCCAUGCGUUGACGGUACCUCCAAAGGAAGCGCCGGCUAACUCCGUGCCAGCAGCCGCGGUAAUACGGAGGAUGCGAGCGUUAUCCGGAUUUAUUGGGUUUAAAGGGUGCGCAGGCGGAGGUGCAAGUCAGCGGUCAAAUUGCGGGGCUCAACCCCGUACUGCCGUUGAA